ACGCUCGACACCUACGUGAGGCAGCAGUGGGGAAUAUUGCACAAUGGGGGAAACCCUGAUGCAGCGACGCCGCGUGGAGGGAGAAGGUCUUCGGAUUGUAAACUCCUGUUGUUGGGGAAAAAGAGGAUGGUACCCAACAAGGAAGUGACGGCUAACUACGUGCCAUCAGCCGCGGUAAUCUGAGCGGGCUGGCAAGGC
Molecule: ribosomal RNA, 198 nt
Filed under: uncultured bacterium
Lineage: Bacteria
Description: partial 16S ribosomal RNA
Rfam family: Bacterial small subunit ribosomal RNA
Source: RNAcentral